This 525-nucleotide ribosomal RNA is filed under the name uncultured bacterium. Its description in RNAcentral is "bacterial SSU rRNA". It matches the Rfam family "Bacterial small subunit ribosomal RNA", at positions 984 to 1509 of the family's 1533-position model. The record is from RNAcentral.
ACAUCCAGAGAAUUUAGCAGAGAUGCUUUAGUGCCUUCGGGAACUCUGAGACAGGUGCUGCAUGGCUGUCGUCAGCUCGUGUUGUGAAAUGUUGGGUUAAAUCCCGNAACGAGCGCAACCCCUAUCCUUUGUUGCCAGCGAUUCGGUCGGGAACUCAAAGGAGACUGCCGGUGAUAAACCGGAGGAAGGUGGGGAUGACGUCAAGUCAUCAUGGCCCUUACGAGUAGGGCUACACACGUGCUACAAUGGCGCAUACAAAGAGAAGCGACCUCGCGAGAGCAAGCGGACCUCAUAAAGUGCGUCGUAGUCCGGAUUGGAGUCUGCAACUCGACUCCAUGAAGUCGGAAUCGCUAGUAAUCGUAGAUCAGAAUGCUACGGUGAAUACGUUCCCGGGCCUUGUACACACCGCCCGUCACACCAUGGGAGUGGGUUGCAAAAGAAGUAGAUAGCUUAACCUUCGGGAGGGCGUUUACCACUUUGUGAUUCAUGACUGGGGUGAAGUCGUAACAAGGUAGGCGUACGUGU